This 431-nucleotide ribosomal RNA is filed under the name uncultured bacterium. RNAcentral's name for it is "partial 16S ribosomal RNA". It matches the Rfam family "Bacterial small subunit ribosomal RNA", at positions 29 to 506 of the family's 1533-position model. The record is from RNAcentral.
ACGAACGCUGGCGGCAUGCCUAACACAUGCCAGUCGAACGAGACCUUCGGGUCUAGUGGCGCACGGGUGCGUAACGCGUGGGAACCUGCCCUUAGGUUCGGAAUAACUCCCCGAAGGGGGUGCUAAUACCGGAUAAUGUCUUCGGACCAAAGAUUUAUCGCCUUUGGAUGGGCCCGCGUUGGAUUAGCUAGUUGGUAGGGUAAAAGCCUACCAAGGCGACGAUCCAUAGCUGGUCUGAGAGGAUGAUCAGCCACACUGGGACUGAGACACGGCCCAGACUCCUACGGGAGGCAGCAGUGGGGAAUAUUGGACAAUGGGCGAAAGCCUGAUCCAGCAAUGCCGCGUGAGUGAUGAAGGCCUUAGGGUUGUAAAGCUCUUUUACCCGGGAUGAUAAUGACAGUACCGGGAGAAUAAGCUCCGGCUAACUCCGU